RNAcentral lists this ribosomal RNA (497 nucleotides) under uncultured bacterium. Its description in RNAcentral is "partial 16S ribosomal RNA". It matches the Rfam family "Bacterial small subunit ribosomal RNA", at positions 28 to 507 of the family's 1533-position model. The record is from RNAcentral.
GAUGAACGCUGGCGGCGUGCCUAAUACAUGCAAGUCGAGCGAACAGACGAGGAGCUUGCUCCUCUGACGUUAGCGGCGGACGGGUGAGUAACACGUGGAUAACCUACCUAUAAGACUGGGAUAACUUCGGGAAACCGGAGCUAAUACCGGAUAAUAUAUUGAACCGCAUGGUUCAAUAGUGAAAGACGGUUUUGCUGUCACUUAUAGAUGGAUCCGCGCCGCAUUAGCUAGUUGGUAAGGUAACGGCUUACCAAGGCAACGAUGCGUAGCCGACCUGAGAGGGUGAUCGGCCACACUGGAACUGAGACACGGCCCAGACUCCUACGGGAGGCAGCAGUAGGGAAUCUUGCACAAUGGGCGAAAGCCUGACGGAGCAACGCCGCGUGAGUGAUGAAGGUCUUCGGAUCGUAAAGCACUGUUAUUAGGGAAGAACAAAUGUGUAAGUAACUAUGCACGUCUUGACGGUACCUAAACAGAAAGCCCCGGCUAACUACGUG